UAGGGCGUGUUUGAAAAGGGUUUUAAAGGUAGUUUGGGUAGCUAACUGGGCCUAAUUCAAUGUUUGAUAUCAAUUUAACAUAAUACGCAAAGCCCGCACAAAAGCAAGGGCCCGGUCCAAUUUCUCUGUUGAGUGGCUGAUCUGGAUGAGGGGGUAGGGGCCAUUUACCGAUGCUGUACUUCUACAGUAACAACGCUUAAAUUAUUUCUUCACAAAAUUGCCCCCAUUUACCCCAAUUGAAAAUAUUCAAAUUGUCCGCGCAGCUUCUAUUGUUUGUCAUAAAUUUGGGUUGAAGAGGGAGAACACAUAUCGCAGCAAAAAUCGGAGCUUCGGCACGGUAAUCGUCGUCCACCACCAACUGAGCAACCGCGUUGUUUAAAUCGGGCUUGAGGAAUUGUUGAGUAGCUCGACUGGUGAGAGACUUGCAUUCAGCGCUGGCCAUAGUCCUCAGUGAGGUAUUUUUUAUUUCGGCCUCAAAUUUGCCGGCGAUUUAACUAUAUACAAUAUAGUUAUAGCUGCUUUAAUGUCAUUUUGGUUAAAGAUCUGAAUUUGUUGAGAUGUGUGAGCAUCUGGUGUGUAGUGAACGAUCUGUUGCAGCUGGUUUUAUUUGUAUUUUUGUGAUGUGUGGUGUGUAUAUAUGCGUGCAUCUUUUGUCUUGU
Long non-coding RNA from Salvia miltiorrhiza (redroot sage), 659 nucleotides. RefSeq lists it as uncharacterized. Lineage: Eukaryota; Viridiplantae; Streptophyta; Magnoliopsida; Lamiales; Lamiaceae. The transcript is spliced from 2 exons. The record is from RefSeq and is a predicted model, not a curated record.